This 27-nucleotide non-coding RNA is filed under the name Homo sapiens (human). Lineage: Eukaryota; Metazoa; Chordata; Mammalia; Primates; Hominidae. The record is from RNAcentral.
UUGAGUGCUUCAACAAUACGCAGCUUA